ACUCCUACGGGAGGCAGCAGUGGGGAAUAUUGGACAAUGGGCGAAAGCCUGAUCCAGCAAUACCGCGUGUGUGAAGAAGGCCUGAGGGUUGUAAAGCACUUUCAAUUGGGAGGAAAACAGGCAGGUUAAUAUCCUGUCUCUUGACAUUACCUUUAGAAGAAGCACCGGCUAACUCCGUGCCAGCAGCCGCGGUAAUACGGAGGGUGCGAGCGUUAAUCGGAAUUACUGGGCGUAAAGAGUUCGUAGGUGGUUUGUUAAGUUAGAUGUGAAAGCCCCGGGCUCAACCUGGGAACUGCAUUUAAAACUGGCAAACUCGAGUUUAGGAGAGGGAAGUGGAAUUUCAGGUGUAGCAGUGAAAUGCGUAGAGAUCUGAAGGAAUACCAGUGGCGAAGGCGACUUCCUGGACUAAAACUGACGCUGAGGAACGAAAGCGUGGGUAGCAAACGGGAUUAGAUACCCCGGUAGUCCACGCCGUAAACGAUGUCAACUAGCCGUUGGGUCUAUUUAUAGGCUUAGUGGCGGAGCUAACGUAUUAAGUUGACCGCCUGGGGAGUACGGCCGCAAGGUUAAAACUCAAAUGAACUGACGGGGGCCCGCACAAGCGGUGGAGCAUGUGGUUUAAUUCGAUGCAACGCGAAGAACCUUACCUACCCUUGACAUCCAGAGAAUCUGUUAGAGAUAGUAUAGUG
Molecule: ribosomal RNA, 689 nt
Filed under: uncultured Gammaproteobacteria bacterium
Lineage: Bacteria; Pseudomonadati; Pseudomonadota; Gammaproteobacteria
Description: bacterial SSU rRNA
Rfam family: Bacterial small subunit ribosomal RNA
Source: RNAcentral